Molecule: ribosomal RNA, 903 nt
Filed under: uncultured bacterium
Lineage: Bacteria
Description: bacterial SSU rRNA
Rfam family: Bacterial small subunit ribosomal RNA
Source: RNAcentral
GAGCGGUAAGGCUUUCACAGAUUAUUUAACCGGAUGAGNCUUGCAAAAGAAAUACNNUCCGCACCGAUGUUUACUGGCUAGUAAACACCCGUUGAAUAAUGUGUGAAAGUACACGAGCGGCGGACGGCUGAGUAACGCGUAGGAACGUACNNNAAACUGAGGGAUAAGCACCGGAAACGGUGUCUAAUACCGCAUAAGCUCUUCGGAGUAAAGCUACGGCGGUUUGGGAGCGGCCUGCGUAUGAUUAGUUUGUUGGUGAGGUAAUGGCUCACCAAGACUACGAUCAUUAGCUGGUCUGAGAGGAUGAUCAGCCAGACUGGGACUGAGAACGGCCCAGACUCCUACGGGAGGCAGCAGUAGGGAAUUUUCCACAAUGGACGAAAGUCUGAUGGAGCAACGCCGCGUGCAGGAGGAAGGCCUUCGGGUCGUAAACUGCUUUUAUCUGUGACGAUUUUGACGGUAGCAGAUGAAUAAGGAUCGGCUAACUCCGUGCCAGCAGCCGCGGUCAUACGGAGGAUCCAAGCGUUAUCCGGAAUUACUGGGCGUAAAGAGUUGCGUAGGUGGCAUAGCAAGCAGAUAGUGAAAGACUACGGCUCAACCGUAGGUACAUUAUCUGAACUGCUAAGCUUGAGUAUGAGAGAGGUAGAUGGAAUUUCCGGUGUAGCGGUGAAAUGCGUAGAGAUCGGAAGGAACACCAGUGGCGAAGGCGGCUACCUGGCCUAAUACUGACACUGAGGAACGAAAGCGUGGGGAGCAAACAGGAUUAGAUACCCUGGUAGUCCACGCCGUAAACGAUGCCAACUAGCUGUUGGUAAUAUGAAUAUUAUUAGUGGCGAAGCAAACGCGAUAAGUUGACCGCCUGGGGAGUACGGCCGCAAGGUUAAAACUCAAAUGAAUUGACGG